AGAGUUUGAUCCUGGCUCAGAACGAACGCUGGCGGCAGGCUUAACACAUGCAAGUCGAACGCCCCGCAAGGGGAGUGGCAGACGGGUGAGUAACGCGUGGGAAUCUACCUAGAACUACGGAACAACUGAUGGAAACGUCAGCUAAUACCGUAUACGCCCUACGGGGGAAAGAUUUAUCGGUUUUAGAUGAGCCCGCGUAAGAUUAGCUAGUUGGUGAGGUAAUGGCUCACCAAGGCGACGAUCUUUAGCUGGUCUGAGAGGAUGAUCAGCCACACUGGGACUGAGACACGGCCCAGACUCCUACGGGAGGCAGCAGUGGGGAAUAUUGGACAAUGGGCGCAAGCCUGAUCCAGCCAUGCCGCGUGAGUGAUGAAGGCCUUAGGGUUGUAAAGCUCUUUCAGUGGGGAAGAUAAUGACGGUACCCACAGAAGAAGCCCCGGCUAACUUCGUGCCAGCAGCCGCGGUAAUACGAAGGGGGCUAGCGUUGUUCGGGUUUACUGGGCGUAAAGCGCACGUAGGCGGAUUGUUAAGUCAGGGGUGAAAUCCUGGAGCUCAACUCCAGAACUGCCUUUGAUACUGGCAAUCUCGAGUCCGGAAGAGGUAAGUGGAACUCCUAGUGUAGAGGUGGAAUUCGUAGAUAUUAGGAAGAACACCAGUGGCGAAGGCGGCUUACUGGUCCGGUACUGACGCUGAGGUGCGAAAGCGUGGGGAGCAAACAGGAUUAGAUACCCUAGUAGUCC
This 740-nucleotide ribosomal RNA is filed under the name uncultured bacterium. RNAcentral's name for it is "bacterial SSU rRNA". It matches the Rfam family "Bacterial small subunit ribosomal RNA", at positions 8 to 796 of the family's 1533-position model. The record is from RNAcentral.